Molecule: ribosomal RNA, 497 nt
Filed under: uncultured bacterium
Lineage: Bacteria
Description: partial 16S ribosomal RNA
Rfam family: Bacterial small subunit ribosomal RNA
Source: RNAcentral
GAUGAACGCUGGCGGCGUGCCUAAUACAUGCAAGUCGAGCGAACAGACGAGGAGCUUGCUCCUUUGACGUUAGCGGCGGACGGGUGAGUAACACGUGGAUAACCUACCUAUAAGACUGGGAUAAUUUCGGGAAACCGGAGCUACUACCGGAUAAUAUAUUGAACCGCAUGGUUCAAUAGUGAAAGACGGUUUUGCUGUCACUUAUAGAUGGAUCCGCGCCGCAUUAGCUAGUUGGUAAGGUAACGGCUUACCAAGGCAACGAUGCGUAGCUGACCUGAGAGGGUGAUCGGCCACACUGGAACUGAGACACGGUCCAGACUCCUACGGGAGGCAGCAGUAGGGAAUCUUCCGCAAUGGGCGAAAGCCUGACGGAGCAACGCCGCGUGAGUGAUGAAGGUCUUCGGAUCGUAAAACUCUGUUAUUAGGGAAGAACAAAUGUGUAAGUAACUAUGCACGUCUUGACGGUACCUAAUCAGAAAGCCACGGCUAACUACGUG